This 270-nucleotide ribosomal RNA is filed under the name uncultured archaeon. RNAcentral describes it as "partial 16S ribosomal RNA". It matches the Rfam family "Archaeal small subunit ribosomal RNA", at positions 477 to 747 of the family's 1478-position model. The record is from RNAcentral.
CAGCACCUCAAGUGGUCAGGAUGAUUAUUGGGCCUAAAGCAUCCGUAGCCGGCUCUGUAAGUUUUCGGUUAAAUCUGUACGCUCAACGUACAGGCUGCCGGGAAUACUGCAGAGCUAGGGAGUGGGAGAGGUAGACGGUACUCGGUAGGAAGGGGUAAAAUCCUUUGAUCUAUUGAUGACCACCUGUGGCGAAGGCGGUCUACCAGAACACGUCCGACGGUGAGGGAUGAAAGCUGGGGGCGCAAACCGGAUUAGAGACCCGAGUAGUCC